GUUUCCAUAGUGUAGUGGUUAUCACGUCUGCCUAACAUGCAGAAGGUCCCCGUUUCGAAAACGGGUGGAAACA
Molecule: transfer RNA, 73 nt
Filed under: Takifugu rubripes (torafugu)
Lineage: Eukaryota; Metazoa; Chordata; Actinopteri; Tetraodontiformes; Tetraodontidae
Description: tRNA-Val (AAC) (tRNA-Val-AAC-6-1)
Rfam family: tRNA
About the family: Transfer RNA (tRNA) molecules are approximately 80 nucleotides in length. Their secondary structure includes four short double-helical elements and three loops (D, anti-codon, and T loops).
Source: Rfam by way of RNAcentral